RNAcentral lists this ribosomal RNA (400 nucleotides) under uncultured microorganism. RNAcentral's name for it is "bacterial SSU rRNA". It matches the Rfam family "Archaeal small subunit ribosomal RNA", at positions 330 to 735 of the family's 1478-position model. The record is from RNAcentral.
GCGCACCAGUCGCGAAACCUCCGCAAUACACGAAAGUGUGACGGGCCAUCCCGAGUGCCGUCCGCUGAGGACGGCUUUCCCCAGUGUACAUAGCUGGGGAAUAAGGAGAGGGCAAGCCUGGUGUCAGCCGCCGCGGUAAUACCAGCUCUCCGAGUGGUGGGGACGCUUAUUGGGCCUAAAGCAUCCGUAGCCGGCUAGGCAAGUCCUCCGUUAAAUCCAACGAUUCAAUCGUUGGGCUGCGGGGGAUACUGUCCAGCUUGGGGGCGGGAGAGGCCGACGGUAUUCCCGGGGUAGGGGUGAAAUCCUAUAAUCCCGGGAGGACCACCAGUGGCGAAGGCUGUCGGCUAGAACGCGCCCGACGGUGAGGGAUGAAAGCUGGGGGAGCGAACCGGAUUAGAUA